CCCUUAGAUGUUCUGGGCCGCACGCGCGCUACACUGAUGCAUUCAACGAGUUUCUUCCUGGUCCGAGAGGAAUGGGUAACCUUUUGAAACUGCAUCGUGAUGGGGCUAGAUUAUUGCAAUUAUUAAUCUUCAACGAGGAAUGCCUAGUAAGCGUGAUUCAUCAAAUCGCGUUGAUUACGUCCCUGCCCUUUGUACACACCGCCCGUCGCUCCUACCGAUUGAAUGUGUUGGUGAGGAGCUCGGAUUGGCAGCAGUUGGUGGUUCGCCACCGGCUAUUGCUGAGAAGUCCUCCAAACCGCCCCAUUUAGAGGAAGGAGAAGUCGUAACA
RNAcentral lists this ribosomal RNA (328 nucleotides) under uncultured eukaryote. Its description in RNAcentral is "partial 18S ribosomal RNA". It matches the Rfam family "Eukaryotic small subunit ribosomal RNA", at positions 1470 to 1796 of the family's 1831-position model. The record is from RNAcentral.